RNAcentral lists this transfer RNA (148 nucleotides) under Heterocephalus glaber (naked mole-rat). It matches the Rfam family "tRNA". From Rfam's summary of the family: Transfer RNA (tRNA) molecules are approximately 80 nucleotides in length. Their secondary structure includes four short double-helical elements and three loops (D, anti-codon, and T loops). Lineage: Eukaryota; Metazoa; Chordata; Mammalia; Rodentia; Bathyergidae. The record is from Rfam by way of RNAcentral.
GGGGGUGUAGCUCAGUGGUAGAGCGCUUGCUUUGCAGAUGCUGGGUUCAAUCCCUAGCAUUUAAAGCAAAGGCAAAACAGCACAGGGCAGUGGUUCUGUACACAGAUGCUAGAGUCUGACUGCCUGGGUUUGAAUCCUGGCUCUGCCA